Molecule: non-coding RNA, 73 nt
Organism: Salmo salar (Atlantic salmon)
Lineage: Eukaryota; Metazoa; Chordata; Actinopteri; Salmoniformes; Salmonidae
Source: Rfam
GGGGAAUUAGCUCAAAUGGUAGAGUGCUUGCUUAGCAUGUGAGAGGUUGUGGGAUCGAUGCCCACAUUCUCCA